GCGAUACAGGGUGACAGCCCCGUACACAAAAAUGCACAUAUUGUGAGCUCGAUGAGUAGGGCGGGACACGUGGUAUCCUGUCUGAAUAUGGGGGGACCAUCCUCCAAGGCUAAAUACUCCUGACUGACCGAUAGUGAACCAGUACCGUGAGGGAAAGGCGAAAAGAACCCCGGCGAGGGGAGUGAAAAAGAACCUGAAACCGUGUACGUACAAGCAGUGGGAGCCUCUUAAUGGGGUGACUGCGUACCUUUUGUAUAAUGGGUCAGCGACUUAUAUUCUGUAGCAAGGUUAACCGAAUAGGGGAGCCGAAGGGAAACCGAGUCUUAACUGGGCGUUAAGUUGCAGGGUAUAGACCCGAAACCCGGUGAUCUAGCCAUGGGCAGGUUGAAGGUUGGGUAACACUAACUGGAGGACCGAACCGACUAAUGUUGAAAAAUUAGCGGAUGACUUGUGGCUGGGGGUGAAAGGCCAAUCAAACCGGGAGAUAGCUGGUUCUCCCCGAAAGCUAUUUAGGUAGCGCCUCGUGAAUUCAUCUCCGGGGGUAGAGCACUGUUUCGGCAAGGGGGUCAUCCCGACUUACCAACCCGAUGCAAACUGCGAAUACCGGAGAAUGUUAUCACGGGAGACACACGGCGGGUGCUAACGUCCGUCGUGAAGAGGGAAACAACCCAGACCGCCAGCUAAGGUCCCAAAGUCAUGGUUAAGUGGGAAACGAUGUGGGAAGGCCCAGACAGCCAGGAUGUUGGCUUAGAAGCAGCCAUCAUUUAAAGAAAGCGUAAUAGCUCACUGGUCGAGUCGGCCUGCGCGGAAGAUGUAACGGGGCUAAACCAUGCACCGAAGCUGCGGCAGCGACACUAUGUGUUGUUGGGUAGGGGAGCGUUCUGUAAGCCUGUGAAGGUGGCCUGUGAGGGUUGCUGGAGGUAUCAGAAGUGCGAAUGCUGACAUAAGUAACGAUAAAGCGGGUGAAAAGCCCGCUCGCCGGAAGACCAAGGGUUCCUGUCCAACGUUAAUCGGGGCAGGGUGAGUCGACCCCUAAGGCGAGGCCGAAAGGCGUAGUCGAUGGGAAACAGGUUAAUAUUCCUGUACUUGGUGUUACUGCGAAGGGGGGACGGAGAAGGCUAUGUUGGCCGGGCGACGGUUGUCCCGGUUUAAGCGUGUAGGCUGGUUUUCCAGGCAAAUCCGGAAAACCAAGGCUGAGGCGUGAUGACGAGGCACUACGGUGCUGAAGCGACAAAUGCCCUGCUUCCAGGAAAAGCCUCUAAGCAUCAGGUAACAUCAAAUCGUACCCCAAACCGACACAGGUGGUCAGGUAGAGAAUACCAAGGCGCUUGAGAGAACUCGGGUGAAGGAACUAGGCAAAAUGGUGCCGUAACUUCGGGAGAAGGCACGCUGAUAUGUAGGUGAAGCGACUUGCUCGUGGAGCUGAAAUCAGUCGAAGAUACCAGCUGGCUGCAACUGUUUAUUAAAAACACAGCACUGUGCAAACACGAAAGUGGACGUAUACGGUGUGACGCCUGCCCGGUGCCGGAAGGUUAAUUGAUGGGGUUAGCGGUAACGCGAAGCUCUUGAUCGAAGCCCCGGUAAACGGCGGCCGUAACUAUAACGGUCCUAAGGUAGCGAAAUUCCUUGUCGGGUAAGUUCCGACCUGCACGAAUGGCGUAAUGAUGGCCAGGCUGUCUCCACCCGAGACUCAGUGAAAUUGAACUCGCUGUGAAGAUGCAGUGUACCCGCGGCAAGACGGAAAGACCCCGUGAACCUUUACUAUAGCUUGACACUGAACAUUGAGCCUUGAUGUGUAGGAUAGGUGGGAGGCUUUGAAGUGUGGACGCCAGUCUGCAUGGAGCCGACCUUGAAAUACCACCCUUUAAUGUUUGAUGUUCUAACGUGGGCCCCUAAUCGGGGUUGCGGACAGUGUCUGGUGGGUAGUUUGACUGGGGCGGUCUCCUCCUAAAGAGUAACGGAGGAGCACGAAGGUUGGCUAAUCCUGGUCGGACAUCAGGAGGUUAGUGCAAUGGCAUAAGCCAGCUUGACUGCGAGCGUGACGGCGCGAGCAGGUGCGAAAGCAGGUCAUAGUGAUCCGGUGGUUCUGAAUGGAAGGGCCAUCGCUCAACGGAUAAAAGGUACUCCGGGGAUAACAGGCUGAUACCGCCCAAGAGUUCAUAUCGACGGCGGUGUUUGGCACCUCGAUGUCGGCUCAUCACAUCCUGGGGCUGAAGUAGGUCCCAAGGGUAUGGCUGUUCGCCAUUUAAAGUGGUACGCGAGCUGGGUUUAGAACGUCGUGAGACAGUUCGGUCCCUAUCUGCCGUGGGCGCUGGAGAACUGAGGGGGGCUGCUCCUAGUACGAGAGGACCGGAGUGGACGCAUCACUGGUGUUCGGGUUGUCAUGCCAAUGGCACUGCCCGGUAGCUAAAUGCGGAAGAGAUAAGUGCUGAAAGCAUCUAAGCACGAAACUUGCCCCGAGAUGAGUUCUCCCUGAGACUUAGAGUCUCCUGAAGGAACGUUGAAGACGACGACGUUGAUAGGCCGGGUGUGUAAGCGCAGCGAUGCGUUGAGCUAACCGGUACUAAUGAACCGUGAGGCUUAACCUU
Molecule: ribosomal RNA, 2588 nt
Filed under: Escherichia coli
Lineage: Bacteria; Pseudomonadati; Pseudomonadota; Gammaproteobacteria; Enterobacterales; Enterobacteriaceae
Description: partial 23S ribosomal RNA
Rfam family: Bacterial large subunit ribosomal RNA
Source: RNAcentral